Molecule: ribosomal RNA, 547 nt
Filed under: uncultured bacterium
Lineage: Bacteria
Description: partial 16S ribosomal RNA
Rfam family: Bacterial small subunit ribosomal RNA
Source: RNAcentral
UGGGGAAUUUUGGACAAUGGGCGAAAGCCUGAUCCAGCAAUGCCGCGUGUGUGAAGAAGGCCUUCGGGUUGUAAAGCACUUUUGUCCGGAAAGAAAUCCUUGGCUCUAAUACAGUCGGGGGAUGACGGUACCGGAAGAAUAAGCACCGGCUAACUACGUGCCAGCAGCCGCGGUAAUACGUAGGGUGCAAGCGUUAAUCGAAAUUACUGGGCGUAAAGCGUGCGCAGGCGGUUUGCUAAGACCGAUGUGAAAUCCCCGGGCUCAACCUGGGAACUGCAUUGGUGACUGGCAGGCUAGAGUAUGGCAGAGGGGGGUAGAAUUCCACGUGUAGCAGUGAAAUGCGUAGAGAUGUGGAGGAAUACCGAUGGCGAAGGCAGCCCCCUGGGCCAAUACUGACGCUCAUGCACGAAAGCGUGGGGAGCAAACAGGAUUAGAUACCCUGGUAGUCCACGCCCUAAACGAUGUCAACUAGUUGUUGGGGAUUCAUUUCCUUAGUAACGUAGCUAACGCGUGAAGUUGACCGCCUGGGGAGUACGGUCGCAAGAUU